GCUGGGCAUGGUGGUGCAUGCCUGUAAUCCCAACAUCUUGGGGGAGGCUAAGGCAGGAGGAUUGAGAGUUCAAAGCCAGCCUCAGCAACUUAACAAGACCCUGUCUUUA
RNAcentral lists this small RNA (109 nucleotides) under Marmota monax (woodchuck). Lineage: Eukaryota; Metazoa; Chordata; Mammalia; Rodentia; Sciuridae. The record is from RNAcentral.